This 85-nucleotide transfer RNA is filed under the name Bdellovibrionales bacterium. Its description in RNAcentral is "tRNA-Leu". It matches the Rfam family "tRNA". From Rfam's summary of the family: Transfer RNA (tRNA) molecules are approximately 80 nucleotides in length. RNAcentral also lists the same sequence under 2 other names. Lineage: Bacteria; Pseudomonadati; Bdellovibrionota; Bdellovibrionia; Bdellovibrionales. The record is from RNAcentral.
GCCCGGGUGGUGGAAUUGGUAGACACACUCGUUUCAGGGGCGAGCGCCUAACAGCAUGCUGGUUCGAGUCCAGUCCCGGGCACCA